This 430-nucleotide ribosomal RNA is filed under the name uncultured bacterium. RNAcentral describes it as "bacterial SSU rRNA". It matches the Rfam family "Bacterial small subunit ribosomal RNA", at positions 33 to 507 of the family's 1533-position model. The record is from RNAcentral.
ACGCUGGCGGCAGGCUUAACACAUGCAAGUCGAACGGGCGUAGCAAUACGUCAGUGGCAGACGGGUGAGUAACACGUGGGAACCUUCCUAGGGGUACGGAACAACUCAGGGAAACUUGAGCUAAUACCGUAUACGUCCGUGAGGAGAAAGAUUUAUCGCCCUUAGACGGGCCCGCGUCGGAUUAGCUAGUUGGUGGGGUAACGGCCUACCAAGGCGACGAUCCGUAGCUGAUCUGAGAGGAUGAUCAGCCACACUGGGACUGAGACACGGCCCAGACUCCUACGGGAGGCAGCAGUGGGGAAUCUUGGACGAAUGGGCGCAAGCCUGAUCCAGCCAUGCCGCGUGAGUGAAGAAGGCCUUCGGGUUGUAAAGCUCUUUUGUCAGGGACGAUAAUGACGGUACCUGAAGAAUAAGCCCGGCAAACUUCGUG